GGCGAGACCCACGCCCACAGUUGCCAGCGUACUCUCUGGAGUGACGGGUACACUGUGGGGACCGCCGCUGCUAAAGCGGAGGAAGGAAUGGGCAACGGUAGGUCAGUAUGCCCCGAAUAUCCCGGGCUACACGCGAGCUACAAUGGUUGGUACAAUGGGUAUCUACCCGAAAGGGGACGGGAAUCUCCUAAAACCAAUCUUAGUUCGGAUUGAGGGCUGCAACUCGCCCUCAUGAAGCUGGAAUCCGUAGUAAUCGCGUUUCAACAGAACGCGGUGAAUACGUCCCUGCUCCUU
Molecule: ribosomal RNA, 294 nt
Filed under: uncultured Methanosaeta sp.
Lineage: Archaea; Methanobacteriati; Methanobacteriota; Methanomicrobia; Methanotrichales; Methanotrichaceae
Description: partial 16S ribosomal RNA
Rfam family: Archaeal small subunit ribosomal RNA
Source: RNAcentral